RNAcentral lists this long non-coding RNA (315 nucleotides) under Hordeum vulgare. Its description in RNAcentral is "long non-coding RNA (HVUL_LNC002252)". The record is from RNAcentral. Lineage: Eukaryota; Viridiplantae; Streptophyta; Magnoliopsida; Poales; Poaceae.
UUCUCUUGUAUCAAAUCAAGCUCGGAUAUGAAGCGUUGGAUGAACAUAUGCGUCGUUUGAGGGCUUUGGCUGAUCCCUUCAUGAACAAAUUUUCUGCGUGUCGUCCAGAUAAAUCAUAGGGUAAUCGUCAAACGAACAAAAUCUGCAUGGGCUAACGUCUCCAUUAGUGAAAAGAUCCAAUACUUUGCCCUUGGUUCAGUUACAGAGACCAGCCAGUCUACAAAAUCUCUAGCUUCCAGAGCCCAAACACAUCGUGCCAUCGAGCACUCGAUGAGGGAAUGUCUCGCAAGAGCUAGUGGUCGACAUGUGCAGUGU